Molecule: long non-coding RNA, 355 nt
Organism: Sardina pilchardus (European sardine)
Lineage: Eukaryota; Metazoa; Chordata; Actinopteri; Clupeiformes; Clupeidae
Exons: 3
Source: RefSeq, a predicted model, not a curated record
CCGACUCCCGUUUCACAGCCUGGACGUCAGGCAACCCUGACCUUGAUGGUGCUGUUUGUGCAGUGUAUAAGAGCAAAGUUUGGAAUGACGUUUUAUGCAGCAAGAAAUAUGCUUUCAUUUGUCAAAGUGUCCCAGACAGGCUUGUGAUGAAGGUGGCCAUCAAGACUGACUCCCCUCUCAACAUGGAAGACCCUGCUGUCCAGGCUUCCAUGGCAGAGCAGAUUCGGCAGAAACUUCAGGUGGCGGGCCAACCGGCCUUUCGUGUCACCUGGAGACAACAGCCAGAUGGGAAGGUCUUUCAUGAAGAGAAAGCCAAGGAUGCAAAGAAGAAACAAGACAGGAGAGUAGAACUUUG